Molecule: non-coding RNA, 2009 nt
Organism: Oreochromis aureus
Lineage: Eukaryota; Metazoa; Chordata; Actinopteri; Cichliformes; Cichlidae
Source: the annotation of a RefSeq genome assembly
CCUGCACGUGAAGCGAUGGGGGAGGAGGGGGAGUUGUGUUCAGUGAAGGAGAGGUGGAGAUUUCUUGUUAGCUGGUUUGCAGAAAAUACUGCGUGCAAAUUGGAUAUUUGGACAGACAGAAGCAUCUUAAUUUCCAGGUGUAUGUCUGGGUGUUGAGGUCCAUCAGUCUCCCUCUGAGUUCAUCACAAAUGUUGGAUCCAAAGUGGAGAUUUUUUGCAGUCAUGAAAAGACUGACUACAGGGUGAUGCUCUGGUAUCAGCAGCUGCCUGGAGAGACAGCUAUGAAACUCAUCGGGUGUUUGUCUGGGUGUUAAAGUUUCCCAAACACCCGUGGAGGUUUUCAGGACACCUGGAGAAAACGUCCAGCUGGUCUGCAGCCAUGAAAAGACCGACUACAUGCUCUUGCAGUGGUACCAGAAAUCCCCUGGAGACCAGGCUCUGAAGCGCAUUGGACAUUUAUAUUAUAACAGCAAAGAGCAUGAGGAAGUGUUUAAGACACAUUUUAAUAUUAGUGGAGAUUUAAGUGGAGAGAAAGGAAAGAAUGCUUCUCUGUUUAUAGUGGACCUAAAGGCACCUGAGCACAGUGCAGUGUAUUACUGUGCAGCAAGCUAUGCACACUGAGAGGAAAACCCCUCCCUGUAAUACCAAAACUCAAACCCAUUGAAGUUGAUGGUUUUAAACUAACAUACUCCUCCCCACAUCUUGGUUAGAUCCCAGCCAGUAUAAUUUUCACUUCACUUUUCUCCUCAAUGUCAAUCAGUCAAAUCCCAAUAUUUAGAUCCCUAAAAAACAUAAAUUGGAGGACAAUAUGAUCAAUAUUCUCUUUCUCUGUCUGACAGAGAAUACACUGUUUGCAUAACAUAAGAUUAUCUAAAAGUGUAAAUGUUAUGAUUUAAACAAAAUUGGGUUUUUUUUAACGUUUCUACGAGUCUUGAGGUUCCGUCAGUCUCCCUUUGAGUUCAUCACAAAUGUUGGUUCAGAUGUUCUGCGGCCAUGAAAAGACUGACUACAGAGUGAUGCUCUGGUAACAGCAGCAGCCUGGAGAGAAAGCUAUGAAACACCUUCUCUUUAAACUUCAAAGUUGUCACAUUUGAAGACCAGUUCAUGAUCAUUUCAAUAUCACUGGAGAUUUGGGUGGGAAUAGAGCAAAAAAGGACUCUGUCCCUAAACAGCAUGGCAAAUUUCAGAGCCUAUGAAGCUUUCACAGACAAAGAAAGAAAAUAACAGUGUGUACCACAAACACAGAAACACUAUUUCUUUCCAUGAGGUGGCCGUAUGUCUGUAUGUCUGCCCAUUUUCCUGGUGGGAGGGUUUAAGAAGAAAUGAGAUAUGAAUAAUCAGCAGAACUGAAUAUACAGUUAUGAAAGCACAGACAACAUAACAGUGGUGUUCCUGAGUUUAGUUAUGCAAACCAACAUGGUAAUUACUUUCUUCUGCAUAAGCCUUAACAUUAUCCUCGUGUCAGGUAAUGCACUCUUUAACUUUUUAAGUCUUCAGGAUUUACUCUUAUAUUGGAAAUUUCACAAUGAUCAUAUUUCCGAUGUUUUUUUUGUUUUUUUUAAACACAGGUUCUUCACUCAGUGACCAAGUCCACCAGGAUCCAGCUGAUAUUUAUAGAAUUCAAGGAGAAACAGCAGAAAUCACCUGUUCACACAAUAUAGACAGCUAUAAUAUAAUCCUCUGGUACAAGCAAACAAAAAACAGCCAACUGCAGCUCCUGGGACACGUGUAUUCAACAAACCCAUCUGUAGAGCCUGGAGUGACUGUGACAAUUGCUGGGAAUGCAAAUAAAGACGAGACCUGCACACUGACAAUUAAAGAUCUCUUCAUGAACAGCAGUGCAGUGUACUUCUGUGCUGCUAGAUUCCACAGUGCUACAUAUCACUGAUCCACAAUACAAAAACCUUCCAAAUGGUAGUUUUUAUCUCUUACAGCUCACAGACACUCGCACCUGUAUUCUAACCAACAUUGAUCUUGUGAUUAUAAUCCUUAGACUUAAAACCUUUAACC